RNAcentral lists this ribosomal RNA (253 nucleotides) under uncultured bacterium. RNAcentral describes it as "partial 16S ribosomal RNA". It matches the Rfam family "Bacterial small subunit ribosomal RNA", at positions 524 to 776 of the family's 1533-position model. The record is from RNAcentral.
UACGGGGGGGGCAAGCGUUGUUCGGAAUUACUGGGCGUAAAGGGCUCGUAGGCGGCCAACUAAGUCGGAUGUGAAAUCCCCAGGCUCAACUUGGGAACUGCAUCCGAUACUGGAUGGCUUGAAUUCGGGAGAGGGAUGCAGAAUUCCAGGUGUAGCGGUGAAAUGCGUAGAUAUCUGGAGGAACACCGGUGGCGAAGGCGGCAUCCUGGACCAGCACUGACGCUGAGGCAUGAAAGCGUGGGGAGCAAACAGG